This is a long non-coding RNA of Haplochromis burtoni (Burton's mouthbrooder), 1104 nucleotides long. RefSeq lists it as uncharacterized. The record is from RefSeq and is a predicted model, not a curated record. Lineage: Eukaryota; Metazoa; Chordata; Actinopteri; Cichliformes; Cichlidae. The transcript is spliced from 3 exons.
AUGCCUGUAGUUUAGUGGCUCUUCAGAAUCCACUGCAACACCACCCAAUUUCCUGGUGGGAGGGUUUUAAAGAAAUGGUGUAUGAAUAAUCAGCAGAACUGAAUAUACAGUUAUGAAAGCAAGGAAGACAUACCAGCUCUGUUCCUGAGUUUAAUUAUGCAACACAACAUGAUAAUCACUUUCUUCUGCAUAAGCUUUAACAUUAUCCUGGUGUCAGGUUCCACACUCAGUGACCAAGUCCACCAGAAUCCAGCUGAUAUGUAUAAAAAUCCAGAAGAAACAGCUGAGAUCACCUGUUCACACAGUAUAGACACCUAUAAUCAAAUCCUCUGGUACAAGCAAACAAAAACCGGCCAACUGCAGUUCCUGGGAUACAUGUUUGCAACAAGCCCAUCUGUAGAGCCUGGAGUGACUGUGACAAUUGCUGGGAAUGCAAAUAAAGACAAGACCUGCACACUGACAAUUAAAGAUGUCUUCAUGAACAGCAGUGCAGUGUACUUCUGCGCUGCUAGAUACCACAGUGCUACAUGUCACUGAUACUCAAUACAAAAACCUUCCAAUUGCCAGUUUUUAUCUCUUACAGCUCACAGACACUUGCACCUGUAUUCUAACCAACAUAGGUCUUGUGAUUAUAAUCCGGUAGUGGAAUGGGAGGUCCUUAGAGAGAAUUAAAACCUAUAACCUCCACCUACCAUUACAAAUAGCAGCAGGCUUUAAUAUUUACAGUGUCAGCUUCAUCUCAUUGUAGAGCAUCACUAUGAUUGCUCAAGCCCUCAUUGUAUUUUUUGUCUCAUCUCUCUGGCUCCAAGGUCAAUCCCAGGAUGUGUUUCAACAACCUGAAAUCAGAUGGAGUUAUGUUAACAAAGCUGCACACAUGAACUGCAGCCACAACAAAGAUAAGGGCCACAACCAGAUGUACUGGUAUAUUCAAAGACCAGGAGAGACCAUGAGGCUCAUUGUCUACACAGUGUUUGGUGGGAAGCCGGACUAUGGUGGAGCCCCUGAGAAUAAAUAUUCAGCCAGCAAAGAAGCCAUUGAGAACGGGGCUCUAACUGUGAAUCACUUGCAGCAGAAUGACACUGGUGUGUAUUUUUGUGCUGUGAG